UCUCAAAGAUCAAGCCAUGCAUGUCUAAGUACAAGCCUCACUAAGGUGAAACCGCGAAUGGCUCAUUAAAUCACACCUAAUCUACUGGAUAGUUAACAGUUACUUGGAUAACUGCGGUAAUUCUGGAGCUAAUACAUGCACAAAGCCCCGAACUUACGUGAGGGGCGCUUUUAUUAGAUCAAAACCAAACGGCUCCGGCUGUAUCCUUGGUGACUCUGAAUAACUUUGGGCUGAUCGCAUGGCCUAGCGCCGGCGACAUAUCCUUCGAAGGUGUGCCCUAUCAACUGUCGACUGUGGCAUAGACGCCCACAGUGGUUUUGACGGGUAACGGGGAAUCAGGGUUCGAUUCCGGAGAGGGAGCCUUAAAAACGGCUACCACAUCUAAGGAAGGCAGCAGGCACGCAAAUUACCCAAUGACCGAAGGUCGAGGUAGUGACAAAAAAUAACGAUACGGGACUCAUCUGAGGCCCCGUAAUCGGAAUGAGUACACUUUAAAACCGUCCCCGAGGAUCUAUUGGAGGGCAAGUCUGGUGCCAGCAGCCGCGGUAAUUCCAGCUCCAAUAGCGUAUAUUAAAGUUGUUGUGGUUAAAAAGCUCGUAGUUGGAUCUCGGCGGUCUGGGAGCGGUUCGCUCGCUAGAGUGCUACUGC
RNAcentral lists this ribosomal RNA (648 nucleotides) under Ctenocalanus vanus. RNAcentral describes it as "SSU rRNA". It matches the Rfam family "Eukaryotic small subunit ribosomal RNA", at positions 35 to 681 of the family's 1831-position model. The record is from RNAcentral. Lineage: Eukaryota; Metazoa; Arthropoda; Copepoda; Calanoida; Calanidae.